UACGGGGGGGGCAAGCGUUGUUCGGAAUUACUGGGCGUAAAGGGUUCGUAGGUGGCUUGCUAAGUCAGACGUGAAAUCCCUCAGCUUAACUGGGGAACUGCGUCUGAGACUGGUGAGCUUGAGUGCAGGAGAGGAACGCGGAAUUCCAGGUGUAGCGGUGAAAUGCAUAGAGAUGACACAGAACACCGAUUGCGAAGGCAGCUCACUACGCAGUUAUUGACGCUGAGGCACGAAAGCGUGGGGAUCAAACAGG
This 253-nucleotide ribosomal RNA is filed under the name uncultured bacterium. RNAcentral's name for it is "partial 16S ribosomal RNA". It matches the Rfam family "Bacterial small subunit ribosomal RNA", at positions 524 to 776 of the family's 1533-position model. The record is from RNAcentral.